Cricetulus griseus (Chinese hamster) is the source of this 299-nucleotide unclassified non-coding RNA. Its record names the gene 7SK. It matches the Rfam family "7SK RNA". From Rfam's summary of the family: 7SK was discovered as an abundant small nuclear RNA in the mid-70s but a possible function has only recently been suggested. Two independent studies have found that 7SK RNA binds the CDK9/cyclin T complex (known as elongation factor P-TEFb). Lineage: Eukaryota; Metazoa; Chordata; Mammalia; Rodentia; Cricetidae. The record is from Ensembl.
GAAUGUGAGGGCAAUCUGGCUGCAACAUUGAUCCCAGGGUUGAUUCAGUUGAUCAAGUUGGCUAGACCGGUGUCCCUUUCCUGUCUCCCGAGGCUGUUUGAUCAGUAGUAGAUGACCUUCCUUCCCUGAUAGGAAGACUAGUCUUUGGUCAAGGGUAUCUAUAUCUGCACUGCCCUUCUAGAACCUCCACACAAGUCUCAAAUUUGUGCAUCAUCUCUCAUUGUGGGUCUUUAUUCACAAAACAUGAUUCUAACUCAGCAUUCCUUUAAGUCCCUCUGCGUGAGAGGAUGUGUUUGGCA